UUGAUAGUACCUUACUACUUGGAUAACCGUGGUAAUUCUAGAGCUAAUACAUGCUGAAAAUCCCGACUUCGGAAGGGAGGUAUUUAUUAGAUUAAAAACCAAUGCCCUCUGGGCUCCUUGGUGAUUCAUAAUAACUUUUCGAAUCGCACGGCCUUGCGCCGGCGAUGGUUCAUUCAAAUUUCUUCCCUAUCAACUUUCGAUGUUUGGGUAUUGGCCAAACAUGGUCGCAACGGGUAACGGAGGGUUAGGGCUCGACCCCGGAGAAGGAGCCUGAGAAACGGCUACUACAUCCAAGGAAGGCAGCAGGCGCGCAAAUUACCCAAUCCCGAUUCGGGGAGGUAGUGACAAUAAAUACUGAUACAGGGCUCUUUUGGGUCUUGUAAUUGGAAUGAGUACAAUUUAAAUCUCUUAACGAGGAACAAUUGGAGGGCAAGUCUGGUGCCAGCAGCCGCGGUAAUUCCAGCUCCAAUAGCGUAUAUUAAAGUUGUUGUGGUUAAAAAGCUCGUAGUUGAACCUUGGGCCUGGCUGGCCGGUCCGCCUCACCGCGUGUACUGGUCCGGCCGGGCCUUUCCCUCUGUGGAACCUCAUGCCCUUCACUGGGUGUGGCGGGGAAACAGGACUUUUACUUUGAAAAAAUUAGAGUGCUCCAGGCAGGCCUAUGCUCGAAUACAUUAGCAUGGAAUAAUAAAAUAGGACGCGUGGUUCUAUUUUGUUGGUUUCUAGGACCGCCGUAAUGAUUAAUAGGGACAGUCGGGGGCAUCAGUAUUCAAUUGUCAGAGGUGAAAUUCUUAGAUUUAUUGAAGACUAACUACUGCGAAAGCAUUUGCCAAGGAUGUUUUCAUUAAUCAGGAACGAAAGUUAGGGGAUCGAAGACGAUCAGAUACCGUCGUAGUCUUAACCAUAAACUAUGCCGACUAGGGAUCGGACGAUGUUAUUUUUUGACGCGUUCGGCACCUUACGAGAAAUCAAAGUGCUUGGGCUCCAGGGGGAGUAUGGUCGCAAGGCUGAAACUUAAAGAAAUUGACGGAAGGGCACCACCAGGGGUAAACCGCUUCAUGCAGCCGCAGUAGCUCUGCUCCCAAAAGCAGCCCGAAAGGGUCAGUGGUGUUCCUGUCCGCGCUCCGGCGCGGCGAACCAAGUGCUAGUCUCUCCGGAGGCGACACCCUCAAAUUGCGGGAAACUUCUAAAACCAGUGUCACCAAGCCGGCGUCGAAAAGGCGUCGGUGGCCGGGGCAAUGACCUAGGGUACGGUAAAAGCACACUGGAUAUAUGGACAAUCCGCAGCCAAGCCUCGUCACGGGGAAGGUUCAGAGACUAAAUGGGGGUGGGUAGUGUGCUGGAGGAUUCGUCCUCCGAGCGCUCGCUCACACACUGCUUAAGAUAUAGUCCGCCCGCGCUGGAAACAGCGCGGAUUGGCAAGCUCAAAUAAACGGGAGCCUGCGGCUUAAUUUGACUCAACACGGGGAAACUCACCAGGUCCAGACACAAUGAGGAU
RNAcentral lists this ribosomal RNA (1495 nucleotides) under Beauveria bassiana. RNAcentral describes it as "SSU rRNA". It matches the Rfam family "Eukaryotic small subunit ribosomal RNA", at positions 121 to 1240 of the family's 1831-position model. The record is from RNAcentral. Lineage: Eukaryota; Fungi; Ascomycota; Sordariomycetes; Hypocreales; Cordycipitaceae.